RNAcentral lists this ribosomal RNA (382 nucleotides) under uncultured eukaryote. RNAcentral's name for it is "partial 18S ribosomal RNA". It matches the Rfam family "Eukaryotic small subunit ribosomal RNA", at positions 592 to 976 of the family's 1831-position model. The record is from RNAcentral.
UGUAAGCGUAUACCAAAGUUGUUGCAGUUAAAACUCUCGUAGUCGGAAUUUGGCAGUUCCGGAUGUGUGCACGUCGUGUGCGCACUUCGCGGGGAUUGCUUUUGUGGUCUUGCGUAGGAUGAGGCACUUUUAUUAGUGAACGUCCUCACGCAACCACUUUUUACUGUGAGAAAAUCAGAGUGCUCAAAGCAGGCAUUUGCCGUGAAUGUAUUAGCAUGGAAUAAUAGAAUAGGACUUGGUUCUAUUUUGUUGGUUUGUUGGGACUGAGUAAUGAUUAAGAGGGACAGUUGGGGGCAUUUGUAUUUCGGUGCUAGAGGUGAAAUUCUUAGAUUACCGAAAGACAAACUGCUGCGAAAGCGUCUGCCAAGGACGUUUUCAUUGA